GUCAUGCUCCCUUCGUUCGGAAAUACUUUGACAGAAAUGCAUAAAAAAUGAUGUAUCUAGAACUAAAAUACGUCUAGAUACAUUCAUUCCUACGACAAGUAUUUUCGGACGGAGGGAGUACCAC
Non-coding RNA from Triticum aestivum (bread wheat), 124 nucleotides. The record is from Rfam. NCBI's taxonomy places the organism in Eukaryota, Viridiplantae, Streptophyta, Magnoliopsida, Poales, Poaceae.